RNAcentral lists this ribosomal RNA (253 nucleotides) under uncultured bacterium. RNAcentral's name for it is "partial 16S ribosomal RNA". It matches the Rfam family "Bacterial small subunit ribosomal RNA", at positions 524 to 776 of the family's 1533-position model. The record is from RNAcentral.
UACGGGGGGAGCAAGCGUUGUUCGGAUUUACUGGGCGUAAAGGGCGCGUAGGCGGCGCAACAAGUCACUUGUGAAAUCUCCGGGCUUAACCCGGAGCGGCCAAGUGAUACUGUCGUGCUAGAGUGCGGAAGGGGCUACUGGAAUUCUCGGUGUAGCGGUGAAAUGCGUAGAUAUCGAGAGGAACACCUGCGGCGAAGGCGGGUAGCUGGGCCGACACUGACGCUGAUGCACGAAAGCGUGGGGAGCAAACAGG